Molecule: small nuclear RNA, 166 nt
Filed under: Zalophus californianus (California sea lion)
Lineage: Eukaryota; Metazoa; Chordata; Mammalia; Carnivora; Otariidae
Description: U2 spliceosomal RNA (ENSZCAG00015004715.1)
Rfam family: U2 spliceosomal RNA
About the family: U2 is a small nuclear RNA (snRNA) component of the spliceosome (involved in pre-mRNA splicing). Complementary binding between U2 snRNA (in an area lying towards the 5' end but 3' to hairpin I) and the branchpoint sequence (BPS) of the intron results the bulging out of an unpaired adenosine, on the BPS, which initiates a nucleophilic attack at the intronic 5' splice site, thus starting the first of two transesterification reactions that mediate splicing.
Source: RNAcentral
AUACCCCACUAAAAUCUGUUCUUAACAGUUUAAUAUCUGAUGCAUCCUCUAGCCAAGGACAAUAUAUUAAAUGAAUUUUUGGAACUAGGACGUGGAAUGGGAGCUCGCUCCAUCCAUUCCCCACAUUGAGUGGUAUUGUAUUGCUUCCAGGAACAGUGCGCCCUCU